Apis mellifera (honey bee) is the source of this 174-nucleotide long non-coding RNA. RefSeq lists it as uncharacterized. The transcript is spliced from 2 exons. The record is from RefSeq and is a predicted model, not a curated record. NCBI's taxonomy places the organism in Eukaryota, Metazoa, Arthropoda, Insecta, Hymenoptera, Apidae.
UUCUGUUCACAUCUGUAAUGCUGAAUUGUUGGUACUUCAGUGAGGUGCAAUGAGAAAAUGUAAAAGGUUUGGUUAGUUUCAGGGAUGUAUGAAUCGGAAUUGAGACCUAGAACUAAAUAUUAAGAUUAAAUUUUAAUUUGAAAUCUGUUAACCUUAAAAGUUAAAACAAGGAAG